UACAGAGGGUGCGAGCGUUGUCCGGAAUCACUGGGCGUAAAGGGCGCGUAGGUGGCCUGGUAAGUAGGGGGUGAAAUCUCGCGGCUCAACUGCGAGGCUGCCUCCUAAACUGUCAGGCUCGAGCAGAGUAGAGGCAGGUGGAAUUCCCGGUGUAGCGGUGGAAUGCGUAGAGAUCGGGAAGAACAUCGGUGGCGAAGGCGGCCUGCUGAGCUCUUGCUGACACUGAGGCGCGACAGCGUGGGGAGCGAACGGG
This 253-nucleotide ribosomal RNA is filed under the name uncultured bacterium. Its description in RNAcentral is "partial 16S ribosomal RNA". It matches the Rfam family "Bacterial small subunit ribosomal RNA", at positions 524 to 776 of the family's 1533-position model. The record is from RNAcentral.